AUUGAAUGGCUCAGUGAGGCGUUCGGACUGGCCCAGGGAGGUCGGCAACGACCACCCAGGGCCGGAAAGUUCGUCAAACUUGGUCAUUUAGAGGAAGUAAAAGUCGUAACAAGGUCUCCGUAGGUGAACCUGCGGAGGGAUCAUUA
This 146-nucleotide ribosomal RNA is filed under the name Batcheloromyces alistairii. Its description in RNAcentral is "partial 18S ribosomal RNA". It matches the Rfam family "Eukaryotic small subunit ribosomal RNA", at positions 1688 to 1831 of the family's 1831-position model. The record is from RNAcentral. Lineage: Eukaryota; Fungi; Ascomycota; Dothideomycetes; Mycosphaerellales; Teratosphaeriaceae.